UUCUAUGGUAGCGUAUAGCGGGAAAGGUUUCGCCCUUUGCUGUGUUCCUUGUAUCGCAGUUUCUCAGCCCGUUAUACGUUACCGCCCAG
Molecule: non-coding RNA, 89 nt
Filed under: Volucribacter psittacicida
Lineage: Bacteria; Pseudomonadati; Pseudomonadota; Gammaproteobacteria; Pasteurellales; Pasteurellaceae
Source: RNAcentral